CAUGCAAGUCGAGCGAGACUCUUCGGAGUCUAGCGGCGGACGGGUGAGUAACACGUGGGCAACCUGCCUGUAAGACUGGGAUAACACCGGGAAACCGGUGCUAAUACCGGAUAAUCCUUUUCCUCUCAUGAGGAAAAGCUGAAAGUCGGUUUCGGCUGACACUUACAGAUGGGCCCGCGGCGCAUUAGCUAGUUGGUGAGGUAACGGCUCACCAAGGCGACGAUGCGUAGCCGACCUGAGAGGGUGAUCGGCCACACUGGGACUGAGACACGGCCCAGACUCCUACGGGAGGCAGCAGUAGGGAAUCUUCCACAAUGGACGAAAGUCUGAUGGAGCAACGCCGCGUGAGCGAUGAAGGCCUUCGGGUCGUAAAGCUCUGUUGUUAGGGAAGAACAAGUACCGGAGUAACUGCCGGUACCUUGACGGUACCUAACCAGAAAGCCACGGCUAACUACGUGCCAGCAGCCGCGGUAAUACGUAGGUGGCAAGCGUUGUCCGGAAUUAUUGGGCGUAAAGCGCGCGCAGGCGGUCCUUUAAGUCUGAUGUGAAAGCCCACGGCUCAACCGUGGAGGGUCAUUGGAAACUGGGGGACUUGAGUGCAGAAGAGGAAAGCGGAAUUCCACGUGUAGCGGUGAAAUGCGUAGAGAUGUGGAGGAACACCAGUGGC
This 667-nucleotide ribosomal RNA is filed under the name uncultured earthworm cast bacterium. Its description in RNAcentral is "bacterial SSU rRNA". It matches the Rfam family "Bacterial small subunit ribosomal RNA", at positions 54 to 716 of the family's 1533-position model. The record is from RNAcentral.